Molecule: ribosomal RNA, 497 nt
Filed under: uncultured bacterium
Lineage: Bacteria
Description: partial 16S ribosomal RNA
Rfam family: Bacterial small subunit ribosomal RNA
Source: RNAcentral
GAUGAACGCUGGCGGCGUGCCUAAUACAUGCAAGUCGAGCGAACGGACGAGAAGCUUGCUUCUCUGAUGUUAGCGGCGGACGGGGGAGUAACACGUGGAUAACCUACCUAUAAGACUGGGAUAACUUCGGGAAACCGGAGCUAAUACCGGAUAAUAUUUUGAACCGCAUGGUUCAAAAGUAAAAGACGGUCUUGCUGUCACUUAUAGAUGGAUCCGCGCUGCAUUAGCUAGUUGGUAAGGUAACGGCUUACCAAGGCAACGAUGCAUAGCCGACCUGAGAGGGUGAUCGGCCACACUGGAACUGAGACACGGUCCAGACUCCUACGGGAGGCAGCAGUAGGGAAUCUUCCGCAAUGGGCGAAAGCCUGACGGAGCAACGCCGCGUGAGUGAUGAAGGUCUUCGGAUCGUAAAACUCUGUUAUUAGGGAAGAACAUAUGUGUAAGUAACUGUGCACAUCUUGACGGUACCUAAUCAGAAAGCCACGGCUAACUACGUG